This is a long non-coding RNA of Melitaea cinxia (Glanville fritillary), 183 nucleotides long. RefSeq lists it as uncharacterized. Lineage: Eukaryota; Metazoa; Arthropoda; Insecta; Lepidoptera; Nymphalidae. The transcript is spliced from 2 exons. The record is from RefSeq and is a predicted model, not a curated record.
GUAACGCGGUUGCGAAGCUUCUGGUAUAGCAUGCAUCUAUAUGUUACGGUAACCGCUUACCAUCAUGUGAGCCGUACGCUUGUUUGCCGAUCUAGUGAUAUAAAAAAAAAAGUGAAACAAAAUUGUUAGCAAUUUUGUACAAUAGUAUUUUAAGUUUAGUAAUAUACAUAUUUCGUAAAUUUA